GGGGGGAGAAGUACCACCAGUCCUUCGUCGAAGGAUGGCGCUUGAAGGUAUAGAAGUGCCUAAACAAGGAGAGGGAUGGCUGGACCUCGACUACGUGGCAGAGGGAGAGAAAUCCUAUCAAAAACCUAAAAGAAUUCGGGGCCACGGAAGCCAAGGAGAUGUCCAAGAAACGGAAGAGGGCAACGACAAAGGAAGGAAGCGGAAGCCGAAGUCCAGCACGGAAUGCUUCCUGGUACAAACAAAAGCGACC
Molecule: long non-coding RNA, 250 nt
Filed under: Elaeis guineensis (African oil palm)
Lineage: Eukaryota; Viridiplantae; Streptophyta; Magnoliopsida; Arecales; Arecaceae
Description: long non-coding RNA (EGUI_LNC054685)
Source: RNAcentral